Molecule: ribosomal RNA, 253 nt
Filed under: uncultured bacterium
Lineage: Bacteria
Also listed under: 1 other name
Description: partial 16S ribosomal RNA
Rfam family: Bacterial small subunit ribosomal RNA
Source: RNAcentral
UACGUAGGUGGCAAGCGUUGUCCGGAUUUAUUGGGUUUAAAGGGUGCGUAGGCGGCCUUGUAAGUCAGUGGUGAAAUACUCCAGCUUAACUGGAGGGGUGCCAAUGAUACUGCAGGGCUUGAGUACAGAUGAGGUAGGCGGAAUUGACGGUGUAGCGGUGAAAUGCAUAGAUAUCGUCAAGAACACCUAUAGCGAAGGCAGCUUACUGGGCUGUAACUGACGCUGAGGCACGAAAGUGUGGGGAUCAAACAGG